GUGCUUGCUUCAGCAGCAUAUAUACUAAAAUUGGAAUGAUACACAGAAAAUUAGAAUGGCCUCUGCAUAAGGAUGACAUACAAAUUCAUGAAGUGUUCCAUAUUUUU
Zalophus californianus (California sea lion) is the source of this 107-nucleotide small nuclear RNA. NCBI's taxonomy places the organism in Eukaryota, Metazoa, Chordata, Mammalia, Carnivora, Otariidae. The record is from Ensembl.